GUGAACAGUUCCAGGAAGUAGUAGUACAUUGAAACAGGAAUAUUGUUGGAUAAAAAAACUUUGAAUAACAAAUUGAAUAACAUUUUUUUAGCAAAUAUUUUCAAACAAGUCCAAUAAACCAAAAUAAUCCCAAAGGAUAAAUGAUGAAAAUAUCUACCUGCAGAGAAAGAACUGAUCUUGAUUGAAUAUAGACUGAAGCAUGGUCUUUUUCAGUUUUUCUUUCUUUCAUUUUUUUUUCUUUUAUUUUAGUCUUAUCUAAAAUGACUAAAAUGGAAAUAGUUUACAUUAUUGCGCAAGUGUAAUUUGAAUCUGAUCGCUUACUAUUUCAGGAAGAAGGGGAAGGAAAGAAGUGAGGAAGUGAUAGGAUUUCAAACUCAAAACUUUAGCUAAAAUUCAUUUUUAAAAUAAUAUAUUUUGCUUUAUCUAACAAUGUUUCUUUCCCACAGUUAAAAAAUAUCGAAGAGGGGAGACAAUAUAUCCAAUAUGCCCUAAGGACAAAGCUGUUUAGCACAAGAGAUAUUCUGGGGGCGAUAGAAAAAGAGAGAAAAACAUUAAAGGACUCAAAAGUAACAUCUGGUGUCCCGAGUGCUCUUUGGCGAGGAGAGCAGCUGCAGGAAGCUGUUUCGGAGACAUCUAAGGACCAGGAGGAUGCAACAUCUAGUACCACACUAACAUCUGGUGUCCCGAGUGCUCUUUGGCGAGGACGGCAGCUGAAGGGAGCUACUUCGGGGACGUCCAAGGACCGGAAGGAUGGUAAAAUGUCUAAUUGAGACCCUCUUGGUGAGUAGAGGGACCCUUACAAGUGGAGGCCCAAAUAGGGACAUUCUGCUGGACAGAGCUUCCUGGGAGGAAGUUUCCACAGCCCUACAAAUUGAAAAAAAUUUGUGGGAGGUCGGAAGAGAUUAGACAGAUGGGACCAUUAAUGUCGGUUCUAUCAUAAAACCCAGAGAUAGUGAAGUUUAUGCAUGACAAAUUUAUAACUUAGGGGGCAGGGGAUGCAAGCAAAUAGAAACCUUUAUAGACAAUUUGUAGAGAAACUUUGGACAUCUUCUCCUUGGUUAGAACAUACAGGACUAGAUUUAAAAGCAGGGACAGUGGUGGGCUCGCAAAAGCUUUUUAUGUCCUUUACAAUCUAAUCAAAACAGCCCUCCCCGGAGGCUCUAUGCUUCCGCUCAUCUUAGUGAGUGAGGAAGCGCAGACUGGUAAUUCUUUGCUCGGUGAUGAAGAGCCACGCUCGAGUAAGAAUAGCAGCCAAAAAAGCGAAAGUACAGGGAAGCCUCUGCCCCUGCUGGUGGCUCCGCCUUCUUCCACGGAAUCUCGAGUCCCUGGCAUGGAACGCUUACCUAUCACCCAUUAAAUCUGUCUUUGGGCCGUUUUAAAAAUAAAAAAGCAGAGGCGGUGGAAACGGCAGGGGUAGACGAAUUGCGGCCCCCACCUAGUGAGUGACAAAACAAAAACCGAGCAGACCACACCCCCAGAAGAGAAAGAAACCAUGAAGUUGUUGUGUGUAAAAGAAUUGAAGCAGUGAAACAGGGUAAAAGAAAUAAAGCUUAUAAAUAGUCCAAGAGCUCCAUCUAGUGGUGAAUGUACCAAAGUGGCAAGGUUAUUAUUAGAAAGUAAAAAAAAAGGGUGGAGGAGGUCUCUGGAGCUCCUAUUCCUUUUUGCUCUCUUACCAACGAUAAGUUACCAAAGGUUGCCCAAUUAUAUCAACAACUUGACAUAACUAUCUCUCCUCAUGUGAUUAGUGUAACUCCUGUUGAUGGCCCUAAUAUUUUUACGGAUGCUACAAAAGAUCACAGAGCUAGUUUUUAUAUACCUUCAGUGAAACCUUGGCGUGUAUUAUCUACUCCUUAUGGCUCUACCCAGAAAAAUGAAUUCUAUGUUAUUUUAUAUGUAUUACAACAAAUCUCCCCACAUUUUGAUAUUAUUACAGAUAGUCAGUAUGCUUAUUUAGUGGUAAAGAAUUUACAGAGAUAAGUAAAGAAAUGUUUGAAAUGUAUUCCUUUUGCCCCUCAUAAAUGUGAUCCUACUUACAAUCCAAAAGGAGAUAAGCCUAAUGAUACCUGGCAAAUGGAUGUUACUCACUGGAGAACACAGUGUGUUCAUGUAACUGUAGCACUCACUCUAAUUUUAUAGUAGCUACUCUUCAACCUGGAGAGGCACUUAAACAUGUUAUUUCUCACUUAUAUCCUUGUUUUGCUUCUAUUGGUGUGCCUCAGCAGAUGAAGAUGGAUAAUGGAUCUUCCUACUCCUCAAAAGGUUUUCAGUCCUUCUGUUCUGAAUUGGGCAUCAUUCAUGUGACAGAUAUUCCUUAUAACCCCACAGGUCAGGCCCUAGUUGAAUGAGCUAAUAGGACCCUUAAAACACUCCUUGUAACAAGAAAAGGGAGUGUCAUGGAGUAGGCUAAAAGGUCACUUAACCCAAAGUAUGUUAGACAAAGCAGUAUUUACAUACAAUUAUUUAUAAUUUUCUGCCAAUGAACUAACGCCAGCCAUUCGUUUUUGGCAUACAUUUGAAAGGACACAGUCUAUCACAGAAGUACAACAUCAACAACUACAAAAAGGAUAAAUUAAUAGAUUAUUAUGGAAAACAAAGGAAGGAAAUUGGGCAGGUCCAGGGACAGUCGAGGUGUGUGGUUCCGGGGUGUGCUCUUAUUGUUGCAGAUGAAAAUGGACGUGAGCCGUGGGUGCUGACCACAAGGAUCUGCGGCAUCAAAGAGAUCAUAUAGAAAAAGAGGAGAAGGCAGAAAGAGCUGCAGAAAAGAAGCUGCCAGGACCAGAGAUGGAAAUGGAGAGGAGAACUGUAAUCUCUAUUGGGAUUGUUAUCUCUUAUGAGCCUCAACACAGGAGCCACAGCAACAAGAAAGUCGAGUAACUUUGUGGCACCAGCACAACACCUGGCUGAUCAAAAGGGACAAUGGAGUUAUACCUGGAACACUGGUGGUGCAUAUGGUAGGAUGGGGACAGCAAACAUCUGAUUUUCAUGUAUGUGGCCAUGUGUCACAGUUAACGGGACAUUAUAGUACUGAUACACCCCAGGCAAAGAUGAUGGACACUUAUAUAAAUAAAGUCACUUUUAUUAUUUA
Antechinus flavipes (yellow-footed antechinus) is the source of this 3085-nucleotide long non-coding RNA. RefSeq lists it as uncharacterized. The transcript has 4 exons. NCBI's taxonomy places the organism in Eukaryota, Metazoa, Chordata, Mammalia, Dasyuromorphia, Dasyuridae. The record is from RefSeq and is a predicted model, not a curated record.